Molecule: ribosomal RNA, 553 nt
Filed under: uncultured bacterium
Lineage: Bacteria
Description: bacterial SSU rRNA
Rfam family: Bacterial small subunit ribosomal RNA
Source: RNAcentral
AGAGUUUGAUCCUGGCUCAGAACAAACGCUGGCGGCGUGCCUAACACAUGCAAGUCGUACGAGAAAGUCGGCUUCGGCCGAUGAGUACAGUGGCGCACGGGUGAGUAGCGCGUGGGUAAUCUGCCCCUCGGUCAGGAAUAACCCGCCGAAAGGCGGGCUAAUACCAGAUAACACUGACGCUCUGCGGAGCGUCUUUCAAAGAAGGCCUCUGUUUACAAGCUUUCGCCGGAGGAUGAGCCCGCGUACCAUUAGCUAGUUGGCAGGGUAAUGGCCUACCAAGGCAACGAUGGUUAGCUGGUCUGAGAGGAUGGCCAGCCACACUGGAACUGAGACACGGUCCAGACUCCUACGGGAGGCAGCAGUGAGGAAUCUUGCGCAAUGGGGGAAACCCUGACGCAGCAACGCCGCGUGAGUGAGGAAGGCUUUCGGGUCGUAAAGCUCUGUCAGAUGGGAAGAAAUGGAUGGGAGCCAAUACCUUUCAUUCUUGACGGUACCAUCAGAGGAAGCACCGGCUAACUCCGUGCAGCAGCGCGUAUACGGGGGGUGCAAGCGU